UACAGAGACUGCAAGCGUUAUUCGGAUUCACUGGGCGUAAAGGGUGCGCAGGCGGCCGUGUGUGUUGGGCGUGAAAGCCCGGGGCUUAACCCCGGAAUUGCACCCAAAACUACACGGCUAGAGCAUUGGAGAGGGUAGCAGAAUUCAUGGUGUAGCAGUGAAAUGCGUAGAUAUCAUGAGGAAGACCAGAGGCGAAGGCGGCUACCUGGACAAUUGCUGACGCUCAGGCACGAAAGCGUGGGGAGCAAAAGGG
This 253-nucleotide ribosomal RNA is filed under the name uncultured bacterium. Its description in RNAcentral is "partial 16S ribosomal RNA". It matches the Rfam family "Bacterial small subunit ribosomal RNA", at positions 524 to 776 of the family's 1533-position model. The record is from RNAcentral.